GGUAGAGUGGCCGAGUGUAAUGGCAGUAGGCUGUAAACCUACUUACAGGGGUUAAAAUCCUCUUUUUACCA
RNAcentral lists this transfer RNA (71 nucleotides) under Osteolaemus tetraspis (dwarf crocodile). RNAcentral's name for it is "tRNA-Tyr". It matches the Rfam family "tRNA". Rfam says of the family: Transfer RNA (tRNA) molecules are approximately 80 nucleotides in length. Lineage: Eukaryota; Metazoa; Chordata; Crocodylia; Crocodylidae. The record is from RNAcentral.